UAAUAAGAAACUUUAAGUAGUCAGUUUCGACCUGAAUUAUUGGUAAAUUUACCCUUAUUAA
This 61-nucleotide transfer RNA is filed under the name Criotettix japonicus. RNAcentral describes it as "tRNA-Arg". The record is from RNAcentral. Lineage: Eukaryota; Metazoa; Arthropoda; Insecta; Orthoptera; Tetrigidae.